AAACUCAAAGGAAUUGACGGGGGCCCGCACAAGCGGUGGAGUAUGUGGUUUAAUUCGAUGCAACGCGAAGAACCUUACCUGGCCUUGACAUGUCUGGAAUCCUGCAGAGAUGCGGGAGUGCCUUCGGGAAUCAGAACACAGGUGCUGCAUGGCUGUCGUCAGCUCGUGUCGUGAGAUGUUGGGUUAAGUCCCGCAACGAGCGCAACCCUUGUCCUUAGUUGCCAGCGAGUAAUGUCGGGAACUCUAAGGAGACUGCCGGUGACAAACCGGAGGAAGGUGGGGAUGACGUCAAGUCCUCAUGGCCCUUACGGCCAGGGCUACACACGUACUACAAUGGUCGGUACAGAGGGUUGCAAUACCGCGAGGUGGAGCCAAUCCCAGAAAGCCGAUCCCAGUCCGGAUCGGAGUCUGCAACUCGACUCCGUGAAGUCGGAAUCGCUAGUAAUCGCGGAUCAGCUAUGCCGCGGUGAAUACGUUCCCGGGCCUUGUACACACCGCCCGUCACACCAUGGGAGUGGGUUGCUCCAGAAGCCGUUAGUCUAACCGCAAGGAGGACGACGACCACGGAGUGGUUCAUGACUGGGGUGAAGUCGUAACAA
RNAcentral lists this ribosomal RNA (599 nucleotides) under uncultured bacterium. RNAcentral's name for it is "bacterial SSU rRNA". It matches the Rfam family "Bacterial small subunit ribosomal RNA", at positions 897 to 1494 of the family's 1533-position model. The record is from RNAcentral.